Non-coding RNA from Paramuricea clavata, 631 nucleotides. The record is from the annotation of a GenBank genome assembly. Lineage: Eukaryota; Metazoa; Cnidaria; Anthozoa; Malacalcyonacea; Plexauridae.
AGGGAGAGAGAGAGAGAGAGAGAGAGAGAGAGAGAGAGAGAGAGAGAGAGAGAGAGAGAGAGUUUAUUUAUAGAGGAUGACACUUCACAGUACGAAUACUGAUGACUCUGUGGUCCUCUGGAAACCUAUGUGCCUAACCCACCCAUGUCAACUUUCUCUGUGGGAGGAAACAUGGAGUACCCGGAGAAAACCCACGACUUUCGGCAGAGCGUCGACUUUUACUCAUUUCACAUGAGGCCUGGGUUCAAGUCACAUUGAGAAGUUCUCACUGAGAUUCGAACCUGCGUCCUUAGAGGUGAAAGGCAAGUGCGCUAACCACUUCGCCACCGUAGAAGAAAAAUUUGUUAGUAAAUUUGAACAGUAAAUAGGGAAAUUGGGAAUUGAAAUGAAAAUAAUUACUUAAGUAGCUUUAUAAUGAUCAGCAAGGAUUAUAUAUACUAAAGUGCUUGAUAGCCAUCAUUCAAUAAUUUCAGAAUUGAUGUUAUAUUAGGUUAAUUAAUAGACAAAUACUAAAAUAUUUUCUUACAUUACUCAGAAAUUACCUGAAUAUAUAAAUUUAAAUAAAUUAGCUGCAAUGUAUUUAUGAGAGGACGUAGGCUACAGCAAGAAUUAGCAGAAGGAAUUGCGAUGC